CUAUAGACACACUCUAUAAGAUCCCAAACCAUUCUAGGAGAUGUCCUGAGGAGCUCCAAAGGUUCUGUCGGUUGGUGCCAAUAGCUCAUCUCCCAAAAAAGUCAACGCCAAAGAGCUGGAAAUGAUGUUGGCACCAACAGUGGGGUUAUCAAGAGCAUCUACCUCCGUCUCGCGGAUGAUGCAUUGAACGGUUAAAGAAGGGGAUCUGAUCCAGAGAAC
RNAcentral lists this long non-coding RNA (219 nucleotides) under Setaria italica (foxtail millet). Its description in RNAcentral is "long non-coding RNA (SITA_LNC004483)". The record is from RNAcentral. Lineage: Eukaryota; Viridiplantae; Streptophyta; Magnoliopsida; Poales; Poaceae.